AUGGAUGUUUAUUAUAUUCCUUUUAGAUCUCCUUUUGGCAGCUGGAUGAGAAGGGCAUGCCACCAUAAAGGAGGGAUCACUGAAACGAGGUUAAAGUUGUAUUCAAAAGCAACACCAGUGCUGUACGUUGCACGUAUCACCACUAUUGAGGGUCAAUACCUCUUCCCUGGAGUCACUGUCAGAGUUCUAGAACUGCAUUUGGGGAAAUCAAGAACUGAAUACGUUCCUUUUUUAUUUCUGCUCAUUUUCAGGGUUACGUUUCUUGAAGAGUUGGGCCUAGCAAUAUGGCAGCGCACGUUCGAUAAGAAACCCCGUAAAGCGCUGCCCCUGAGCAUUUGGGCAGCGCAAUGUGUAACAUUCCUAAAAAGCACCAUGGCAACAUGUCAGUGUUACUGCCUUCGCGGUCAGCAGUCAGAAGUCUCCAAAGCAAGAAAAUACUUGAAAUAG
RNAcentral lists this long non-coding RNA (447 nucleotides) under Struthio camelus australis. Its description in RNAcentral is "lncRNA (ENSSCUG00000011470.1)". The record is from RNAcentral. Lineage: Eukaryota; Metazoa; Chordata; Aves; Struthioniformes; Struthionidae.